Molecule: ribosomal RNA, 496 nt
Filed under: uncultured bacterium
Lineage: Bacteria
Description: partial 16S ribosomal RNA
Rfam family: Bacterial small subunit ribosomal RNA
Source: RNAcentral
GAUGAACGCUGGCGGCGUGCCUAAUACAUGCAAGUCGAGCGAACGGACGAGAAGCUUGCUUCUCUGAUGUUAGCGGCGGACGGGUGAGUAACACGUGGAUAACCUACCUAUAAGACUGGGAUAACUUCGGGAAACCGGAGCUAAUACCGGAUAAUAUUUUGAACCGCAUGGUUCAAAAGUGAAAGACGGUCUUGCUGUCACUUAUAGAUGGAUCCGCGCUGCAUUAGCUAGUUGGUAAGGUAACGGCUUACCAAGGCAACGAUGCAUAGCCACCUGAGAGGGUGAUCGGCCACACUGGAACUGAGACACGGUCCAGACUCCUACGGGAGGCAGCAGUAGGGAAUCUUCCGCAAUGGGCGAAAGCCUGACGGAGCAACGCCGCGUGAGUGAUGAAGGUCUUCGGAUCGUAAAACUCUGUUAUUAGGGAAGAACAUAUGUGUAAGUAACUGUGCACAUCUUGACGGUACCUAAUCAGAAAGCCACGGCUAACUACGUG